RNAcentral lists this transfer RNA (72 nucleotides) under Phrynosoma platyrhinos (Desert horned lizard). RNAcentral's name for it is "tRNA-OTHER". Lineage: Eukaryota; Metazoa; Chordata; Lepidosauria; Squamata; Phrynosomatidae. The record is from RNAcentral.
CCCAGUGUGGUGUAAUGGUUUGAGUGUUGGACUGCUACUCUGGAGACCAGGGUUCGAUUCCCUGCUCAGCCA